RNAcentral lists this ribosomal RNA (257 nucleotides) under uncultured archaeon. Its description in RNAcentral is "partial 16S ribosomal RNA". It matches the Rfam family "Archaeal small subunit ribosomal RNA", at positions 726 to 982 of the family's 1478-position model. The record is from RNAcentral.
ACAUUAGAUACCCGCGUAGUCCCAGCUGUAAACGAUGCAGACUAGGUGUUUGGACGGCCACGUGCCGUUCUAGUGCCGCAGGGAAGCUGUUAAGUCUGCCGCCUGGGGAGUACGAUCGCAAGAUUGAAACUUAAAGGAAUUGGCGGGGGAGCACCACAAGGGGUGAAGCUUGCGGUUUAAUUGGAGUCAACGCCGGAAAUCUCACCGGGAGCGACAGCAGUGUGAUAGCCAGAUUAAAGGUCUUGCUAGACGAGCUG